UACGGAGGGUGCAAGCGUUGCUCGGAAUUAUUGGGCGUAAAGCGCACGCAGGCGGCUGAUUAAGUCGGAUGUGAAAACCCCGAGCUCAACUCGGGAACUGCAUUCGAAACUGGUCAGCUGGAGUUCGGGAGAGGGAAGCGGAAUUCCUGGUGUAGAGGUGAAAUUCGUAGAUAUCAGGAGGAACACCGGUGGCGAAAGCGGCUUCCUUGCCCGUAACUGACGCUCAUGUGCGAAAGCGUGGGGAGCAAACAGG
RNAcentral lists this ribosomal RNA (253 nucleotides) under uncultured bacterium. RNAcentral describes it as "partial 16S ribosomal RNA". It matches the Rfam family "Bacterial small subunit ribosomal RNA", at positions 524 to 776 of the family's 1533-position model. The record is from RNAcentral.